UUCGUAAUAGCGAAUCGAGCGAAAUAGCAGCCAGCCAGCACAGAAGUUGGGUCGAGUCGAGAUUCCUCGCGUUUGGUUUUCAAUUCGUAUUGUGUGUGGCAAGCUGAAAGUCAAGAACAGCAGUAGCCAUAUUCGUCUUUGAAUUUGUGAUUUUGUUCAUUGCAAAUCGCGUUUCGAUUCCGCAGUGACAAGUACGCAAUCGAGUGAUUUUCGUUCGUCAAACUUGUUCAUACAAAGAGACACUUUCAUCCGCGAGUUUUAUAAUUCUUGUGCUCGGGUUUCGGAACCUCCGAAAGUCGGAUCCCAUUUUGUGUGGAGAAAGUCUGCGCUGUACCUGGUGUUUCGAGUGUGUCCCCUGCCGUUUCGGGGGACCGGAAUGAGUUUUUGCAUGUUGAACUAAUUUUAGUGACUUUUCGGUGUACGAGUUUCCUGCCCUUUUUCUUUCGAUUAUUUCCAAAUAAGAGCAUUUCCCUCGAGUUGGCAGGCUGCGUGAAGCGCGUAGAAAAAGUGAAAAAAGUGGUGAGCAUAGUGAGAAAAUUUGGUGAAAACGAUGUCAGUUCCUUCUCAUGGGGCGAUGUGUUGAAAAUCUGUCGGUGUUCCCAGCGAGUGUGUAGUCAAAAAUCUUUUUUUUUUCACUUGCAAUAAGCAACAGGAGUGUGCGAGCCGAUGGUUGUAUGGGUGUUUGUGUAGCAACCAUCCAAACGAAGAAGAGUGAGAAUUGAAUUGAAAAUAAAAAAAAAAACAAGAAGAAUUUAUUCAAUCCCAUCAGUAAUAGCAAAAAUAAAGCGGAGAAGAAAUUGAAAACACACCCGAUGAGAAGAAGAAAUAUAAUUUUUCCUUGUUUCUGUUUUAUCACGAAGAAAAAGUGAGAAUAAACCCGGUCAAGAUUGGUUCAGUGGUGAAAAAUCAAAAUUCCAACUCAUCGAACCCCACUUGGUAGUAGCAGUCGAUUCGAGAGGAGGCCCAGCAGAGAAAAAUGUCUAUGGACAGCCGGAACACCUCGGCCCUGUUCAAACGGGCCGAACAGCUCAAACGCUGGGAGGAAUCCGAUACGAACAAGCACAGCGGCACUCCGAAGAGUCCCUCGAUGCGUCGGAUCAAGUUUUCCUCCGGGUGUAUCUUUCUGGCAGCUUGCGUAGCCGGGGACAAGGAUGAAGUCUCCCGGCUGCUGGAAACCGGAGCCGACAUCGACACAGCAAAUGUGGAUGGACUGACGGCGCUGCAUCAGGCCUGUAUAGAUGAUAAUCUGGAUAUGGUCGAGUUUUUAGUACAGAACGGAGCUGAUGUGAACAGAAAAGACAAUGAAGGAUGGACACCUCUGCAUGCCACAUCUUCCUGCGGGUUUCUCAGCAUAGCUCGUUAUCUGAUCGAAAAUGGUGCCGAUCUGGCAGCGAUCAACAGCGACGGUGAACUGGCACUGGAUCUGGCCUGUUCGGACGCAAUGGAGGAUCUCAUCCAGCGACACAUCGACGCACAGGGCAUUGACUGUGACGAGGCUCGCCAAAUAGAGGAGAAGAUCAUGCUGAGCGACGCGAAACGGUGGCUCCGCAGCGACAGUACAGACUGUGAUAAACCCCAUCCCAAGACUGGCGCGACGGCGAUCCACGUGGCAGCGGCGAAAGGAUACAUCAAAGUGCUUGGUUUGUUGCUGGACGGACGGGGGGACUUUGACAAGCAGGACGUAGACGGCUGGACGGCCCUGCAUGCUGCGGCAUAUUGGGGCCAGAAGGAAGCAGUACAGAUGCUACUAAACGCAAAUGUAGAUAUUGACAUUCAGAACUACAGUGGUCAGUAUGCAAUAGACAUUGCACAGAAGGAUAUCGUUCCCUUGCUGGACGAGGCGAGAAAGAACAUUAAGCGGCCCAAACGGCGACCUGCUAGUCAAAUUAGAAUUACGGACACUAUUGAGAAUAGCAUCGAGACACCCACGAAGGUCAUCCGAGUCGAGGUCAAACCGAUCGACAGUAAAGAGAAAGAAGAAUAUACCAGUGGUAGUGAGCAAGAGGAGGAGGUAUUGGAAGAAGAGGAAGUAGAGAUCGAAGAAGUUGAAGAUGGAAUGGACGACAGCGGAAGUGGUCAAGAAGGGGAUGCGGAGAGGGAAGAAUUGGCAAAUGAUGAUGGAGAGUGUUCCGAAGAAGAAGUUCCUGAGAAAGAAAAUCAACCAACUGAACCUGAUGUGAUACUGCGACGGACGCAAAGUUUCGAGAGCGAUGAAAAGUUCUAUCAGAAGUACGUCGAACUGCGGGCAAGAAUACAGGCCAACUCGUGCCCCAUCCUGCCUAACACGAACGCAAAAACGGCUGUCAGUAACUAUCUCGUACAAAGGUCAGCUUCGCUCAAGGACCAUCGGACGCUAAGAAAAGCUACCAGUAACCUGGUGCUGGGUAGUACCGGUAGUACCACUACCGGUUCCGUUACAACGAACUUACAAUCAACGACACCGACUGCCAUGUCACCGCCCACUAGUCCAACCGGUACACCGACUACAACGCCAAGUGCCGGACAAAUUCGCAGUAUCACACCUACCAACAGUGACAAUAACAACAUCAACCGUGUCACACCGCUCGAGGUCACCGUCACACCAGUCGACCACAGAAAUAACAACAACGAUUCCACUGCCACCACCAACAGUAAUAACAGCAGUAGUAACGUAAUCAACAAAAAUCAUAGUCUGUUCGAACUCAAUCGAAAAUACAUCGAACAAGCACAGAAGACGAAAAUUAAUAACGAGCGUAACAAAUUUCUCUCCUCUCUCAACGAGAAGAGGCAACAGCAGCAACAGGAAGCAGCACUACAACAACAGCAGAAGGAAGCGAAAGCGGCAUCCUCAGCAGCACAGCAGACAGCCGCAAAAUCCGGCUCCGCAGAAAAAGAACCGUCGCCGGCGGAACCAACCGCUAGUGCUCAGAGCGUAGCAGCCGUCUACGCACCGGCCGCCUCCAACGUAUCGCCGACACCAUCGCCAGUUACGCCAGCAAGCCCUUCCACCCAAUCAUCUCCGACAGUGACCUCGACGAACAAACUUUCAGCGGGCAAUAUUUUCAAGAAUUUCUUCAAAUCAUUUGUGCCACCGACGCGCGAUGAGGAGAGUGAAACGCAGCGGAAAGCGCAUGCCAAGCGGGUCCGCGAAACCCGACGUUCCACGCAGGGUGUCACGUUGGAUGAAAUCAAAAGUGCCGAGCAGUUGGUCAAGAAAAAGAAUUCCUCCAACAGUGAUAGCGACCCAGCUACAACCACACCCAUUACCACCGCUACACCAACAAUCACCACCACUCCCAGCAGUACCACCAUACCCACGUCAUCAACAUCCAUCCCCAUCAACGAUCGUGUACCCUCGGUGGACGGUAGCAGUGGUGCGGCUAGCAGUAUGGCAGAGGUAAGCAGAAAGGUUUCUACGUCAGCAUCAGCAGGAGCACCACUGUCCAAUAGUGAAGAGCAGGUGUCGGCCAGUUUCACAAUCAGCGUUCCUCCAUCGAACAUUGCUACUACGACCACCGUCAAACCGAACCGCGUUGAUGGCGGUGGUGGUGGCGGCGUUAGCGGUGGAGAAGGAGGAGGUGGAGGAGGAGGAGGAAAUGGAGUUCCGGCAACUCCGAAUGAGGAUGGCAGAAAAAUCAGCGUUUCGUACACGAUCUCUACUCCGAGACUCAACAGUUCCGCUACAACGAUGAAAACGAGUAGUUCAGUAGAAGCCACAACGAACGCCAAAGAAAAGGAUACGGCAGAAUCCCCAACAGUGACAGCGGUAUUCAGUGUGCCUGGUGUAACCGCUGCCACCACUACGACCAACAACAAUAAUUCUAGCAGUAACAACAAUAAUGUUAAUAAAAAGACUGAAUCAGACGAGUUAACGAGAAUGAAACCUACGAUAGGUGAUUCCUCGAUUAGCAGCACCCCCGCUGCAGCAGUAUCGGCAACAGCAACCAUUCGGACCGCAGGUUCCUUCAGUACCAACAAACGGUCCCUGUUUGACAUCGAUAAUGCUAAUUCACUUACCCUGGCAGAAAAACUGCGUCAGGAAGCUAACAAGUACGCUGAAAGCGACAAGGAAAACUUUGCUGGUUUGAAAGGACCUGCUAGCACCGGUAAUGCAUCGGUAACGACCGCCCCAACGACAACAACUAAAAGUGAAACGGUCACUAGUUCUACUCCAGUUGCCUCUGUCGAAGGUACAGUAUUACUGCGAAAAGAGACGAGUGCACCAUCGUCUCCGUUGCAUCAGCACCAACAGGCGAUGGCCGAGAGGAGACCGUCGUGGCGUUUGAAGGUGGAUGGAGGAUCUAAGUUUAAACUGGAAGACGCCUCGGUGCCAGCCAGCAUAUCCGCCUCUGCACCUACCACCAAUGCUACGAGCAAUAACACCACUGUCCUGGAUUCCGCAAACAGUCGGCAGCAGAACGAGCUAAAUAGUAUCUCGACGUCCUCGUUAGCCCAACGAAGGCAGAACGGCGACAGCAGUAAUCUAAUCACAUCCCGUCCUAUAUCGGCACCGGAGAUGAGCAGUUCUACGAUGUCUUCCGUUGCCAGCAAUCAACAGCAGAACGAUGCUAGUUCGCAUCUGCGGAGACCACUGAAGGCUAGUGAGGAGAACAAGGAAAAUGACAAAGAAAACGAGAACCGCAGUAGUGCCCAGGCAACGCAGGCGGUCAUCCAGAGAAGGAGGCGCCCGAAGAGGCGAUCCACUGGCGUGGUGCACGUCGACAUGGAGGAUAUUGAUCCAGAACGUCAAGAUUCUCCAGUCGACGGGGAGGAGAAAGAGUCCGGAGCGGAACGAGGUCGAUCGCGCGUUGGUUCGACCGCAUUUGAGCUAGCGGAUCAAAAGGACGUAGAAUCCAAGGAAAAUGGUGGUGACUACAUUGACUACAAAGCUCUCUAUGAACAGGCCAAAGCGGAGAAUGAUAAACUUAAGAGCGCAAUGCGGAAAAAGGAGGAAGAAGUGAUCAGUUUGAAAGCAGCGCUCGAUAGGUUCACUACCGCGAGGUAUCAACCAUGUGGUCAUUUACCUCCCUGGUCAGAAAAAUCUUCUGACCCUGUGUACGAGGUUGGAAAUCGAUCCGAGACGACCAAGAACAACUCGUUGUCGGAGUUAGAAAAACGGGAAAGACGAGCGAUGGAACGAAAAAUGUCGGAAAUGGAGGAAGAGCUCAAGUUACUGCAAAAAUUCAAAACUGAGAAUGAACGCCUACGCGCUGAGAAUCGCGCCCUCACGCGGGUAGUGUCUAAACUUACAACAUCGGCGCAGAAUCAAUUGCACAACAAACAAUAGUAACGGUAGAUGUUGCUGCUGAAGAUAGUACUGGUAGCAAAACACGAAGAGAAUAAAAAAAAUGAACAGAUUUGUCGCACCCGCACGCACACAACACCGCCUGUAGACCGCAAUUGAUUUUACCUAGUACUUGUUCGAUACAUUUAUAGCGUUUCUGAGUAGUUCAUUAGUAAAUUGGAUCGCCAACUAUGCAAUUAGAGGACUGAUGUAGAGGAAAUAUUUCUAACUUCUAAUAACAGAUAAAGAUCGAUGUAGCCAAAAAUAAACUAGUGAAACCCUGCUAAACUGAAGCCAAACAGCUUUUAUCCGAUAUAGAAAAAAAAAAUGCAAAUCAAACAAAGUGACAAUGUUUAUGAUACACAUACACACACAUCAUAUCAGACAGCGGACAUGUGUAGGCGGGGUGCGUUCAGCAUUUCUAAUCACAGCACGCCGAGAAACGGUACAUCUACCGACGAUCUACUCGUGGACAUCGACAUCUCAACGAACUUUCGCACACAACGGUUAGCAGCUUCACUGUAGUCUUCUAGCAACGUCACGUCACUAGAAGAAGAAAAAAACAAACAAUAAACGAACAAACCAACAAAUAGGCAAACGAAAAAAAUGAAACCAAAAAUAACAAAGGUUCGCGAUUGCCCCUAAACUGGUCUAUCCACCGAAACUGACUUUGCAGUUGGACGCUCUCAAGACCGAGAAUCAACGCCUGAAGGACGAGAACGGAGCACUCAUUCGUGUAAUUAGUAAGUUAAGUAGAUAGAGGCAGGCAGUUUUAUGCGCGAGCAAGCCUUUCGUUUCUGGUGGAAGUAUCUGAAGGCAAAUUAAGGUACUGAGUUUUAUCAAUUUCACUAAGCAAACAGAGCGCGGGAAAAAACAGAUACCCAUUAUUUUAUCACUAGACCUAUUGAAACGAUCAAAUGGAGAAUAUUAAACAUACUAUGUAAAUUAGAGGAAAAAUCAAACUAAACGCAGAUUUACUAAGCUUUUAUCUACAGAGCAAGCGGACCUAUUUAUUACACAUGAACAACACGUAUCAAUCAAAAUGAUUUCAUCCGUUUCAUCUUUGUAGGUAUUGUUUGUCGAACUGUUAUUGUACUCCUUCCAAUAGUUCCGUUGUUUUCUAUAAAUCAGUUCAACAAACGCUCAACCAGUAGUGGUUGAUUGAAUGAUUGAUUGUUUAAAAAAUAAAAGUAUCCUCUCUGUGCUGUUUCAAUUGGAGUAAGAGAACAAAGAUAAAUGAAAUGGCAAAACUAAUUAUGUUAAUUGUCUAUAGAAAUGAUAGAAAGCUAAUCCUCUAUGAAGCUAUUUUUAAACUGAUGCUCAGAGGCAAAAUAAUAUUGCAGCACUUUGUCCAAAAUUAUUUUGAUACAAAAAAAAUUACGCCUCAAGUCGGGACGAAGCAUACUAGAGACGCAACUUGUUUGAGUGGAAUAAGUUAUAAACAAAAACUACGUUAAAUUUAAAUGUGAAACUCAUUUUUCGUGAGUGUGAGCCUUUUAUUUCUUGUAUUUUUGUGUAGGACAAAAUUGACUGUGUUGAGAAGUAACGGAAGAAAACUACAAAACAAUAAAGGAUGCUGUUUGAGAAAUCUGUGAAAGAAACAGAAAAGUAUAUUUAUAGAUUUUUAUAGCAACCACACGCUGCGUAUUUAUAUGUAUACAUCAUUUAGGGAAAGAGAGAUAAUAAUCACUUUUUU
Molecule: RNA transcript, 6959 nt
Organism: Malaya genurostris
Lineage: Eukaryota; Metazoa; Arthropoda; Insecta; Diptera; Culicidae
Gene: Mbs
Gene name: protein phosphatase 1 regulatory subunit 12A
Exons: 21
Source: RefSeq, a predicted model, not a curated record